RNAcentral lists this transfer RNA (62 nucleotides) under Alicella gigantea. RNAcentral's name for it is "tRNA-Ser". The record is from RNAcentral. Lineage: Eukaryota; Metazoa; Arthropoda; Malacostraca; Amphipoda; Alicellidae.
AGCUUUUAAGUUCUAGACGUAUGUCUUGAAAACAUAAAGAGAAGGUUAAUCUUCAAAAGCUU